UGGGAUCAUGCAGGUUAUCUCAGAUUUGC
This 29-nucleotide non-coding RNA is filed under the name Rattus norvegicus (Norway rat). The record is from RNAcentral. Lineage: Eukaryota; Metazoa; Chordata; Mammalia; Rodentia; Muridae.